Etheostoma spectabile (orangethroat darter) is the source of this 887-nucleotide long non-coding RNA. RefSeq lists it as uncharacterized. The transcript is spliced from 3 exons. NCBI's taxonomy places the organism in Eukaryota, Metazoa, Chordata, Actinopteri, Perciformes, Percidae. The record is from RefSeq and is a predicted model, not a curated record.
AGGUUGCACAAUGUUUGCAAAAUUAUGAAAACAAAAUGAGAAAAGAAAUCCACAGUAAUAAAACAUGAUAAAAGCUAGAAAGAGGAACUAUAAUGUGCAGGUGAGAUAAAAAUAAGCACAGAUUUGUAAAAAAAAAUGUAGUCAUAAACAACUAUAUUGUAAAAAGCAAUACCAUAAUGAGCUGAAGCACUCACCCUGAGGUUUUUCUAUGCCCAACUGAUAAUGGCUGUGAAUUCUUCUCCAGGAUUAGGGAAAUGCACAAUGGAUGGAUUUCUAAUGAUCGUGGUCCUGACGAUCAUGGGAAUGAAGGGCAAAUGCUGCUGUUGAAUGAGAGAGCUGCCAUCCAACAUUUUGACAUGACAGGUGAAGCCGUAGCUUUGGUGAACAGGCACGGUUUUGGCCCAGACAAGGUCAGCAGGUGCUUUGCACCAGACACUGACGUGGAGUCAACGCCCAACAUGAUGAAUUAUACACAAAUAUAAUAAUAACAAUAAUAAUAAUAAUAAUAAUAAUAACAAUAAUAAUACUAGUAAUAAUAAUAAUUUUAGUCUAUGUUAUAUAUAAGAUAUACAGUAUUUUCACAGUCAGGCUAUGUGGUACAUUUACUGGCAGCUCCUUUAAGAUCAAGUUUAAAUAAUCAUUUUCAUCACAUGAUGCUUUGCUCUCUCUCUCACACACAAUGUUAGAAGAUAUAUUCUCUACAAGCCCUAUGUGCUGUUAUCACAAACAUUUUAAAUCAUUUUGAUGACAUGUGUUUAUUUUCACAGAAAAAUUAGACAAUCUAGGUGGAAACCGGAUGUUGUCUAUGUGUCACUUUAAGUCUAUUCAUUGAUAUAUGCUCAGUCAAUCAGAUAACAUAUUAAUUUGGGUAAUUGUGUUUAGAUAAA